Molecule: long non-coding RNA, 225 nt
Filed under: Setaria italica (foxtail millet)
Lineage: Eukaryota; Viridiplantae; Streptophyta; Magnoliopsida; Poales; Poaceae
Description: long non-coding RNA (SITA_LNC003092)
Source: RNAcentral
GAAGAUGGCCAUCUCCUUUGUGUAAACUUUUUUCUUGCUAGCCUCUCUGUUCCAUGAUGAAAAGUAACCGGUCACAACUUGAACUUUAAAUGCUAAAUACUUGAGAGAGUAAUGUGUCUUGUUAUGUAUAAAUGAGUUCAGGGAUGACAUCGAAGGGCAAUGCUAAUUUCUUGAUUAAGCAAGUAUCCUGGACUUACUCGAGGAUGAGCAAAGUUUAAGCAUGGG